This 324-nucleotide ribosomal RNA is filed under the name Triticum aestivum (bread wheat). RNAcentral's name for it is "partial small subunit ribosomal RNA". The record is from RNAcentral. Lineage: Eukaryota; Viridiplantae; Streptophyta; Magnoliopsida; Poales; Poaceae.
AUGCUCUAUUCACACAUGGUGGAGGCAACCCAACAAGUUGUUACGGAACCAGCAGAUAAAGAGUCGAGGAACCCGCAUCAUAGGAGAGUCAUCGAGGGGCAUCCUGAUAACGCUAUGGACAAUGAUUGCUUCAACACCGCCGUGCGUAUACUGGCAUGUGACGAGGGAGUAUUGUUCACAGACCCUCCUAUACACUACAUGGAUCUAAGAUUUUGUAGUCAACAAAAGGUCAGAAGUUUGGCUAGAAGGAAACUAUCCAGACGUUGGCAGCAUUAUUUGAUAGCUGGCAUAGGAUGGACAACAACAUCUCAUCAUGCAACAUGA